AACGAACGCUGGCGGCAGGCCUAACACAUGCAAGUCGAACGCUCCGCAAGGGGGAGUGGCGCGCGGGUGAGUAACACGUGGGAACCUACCUUCUGGUACGGAACAACCAAGGGAAACUUUGGCUAAGACCGUAUACGACCUCCGGGUGAAAGAUUGAUCGCCGGAAGAGGGGCCCGCGUCCGAUUAGGUAGUUGGUGAGGUAACGGCUCACCAAGCCUUCGAUCGGUAGCUGGUCUGAGAGGAUGACCAGCCACACUGGGACUGAGACACGGCCCAGACUCCUACGGGAGGCAGCAGUGGGGAAUAUUGGACAAUGGGCGCAAGCCUGAUCCAGCCAUGCCGCGUGAGUGAUGAA
Molecule: ribosomal RNA, 355 nt
Filed under: uncultured bacterium
Lineage: Bacteria
Description: bacterial SSU rRNA
Rfam family: Bacterial small subunit ribosomal RNA
Source: RNAcentral